AGCUACACCCGAUCCCAUCCCGAACUCGGCCGUGAAAGCCCCCAGCGCCAAUGGUACUGUGUCUUAAGGCACGGGAGAGUAGGUCGCUGCCAGGU
Molecule: ribosomal RNA, 95 nt
Filed under: Rhodospirillales bacterium
Lineage: Bacteria; Pseudomonadati; Pseudomonadota; Alphaproteobacteria; Rhodospirillales
Source: RNAcentral